GUGGGGAAUAUUGCACAAUGGGCGCAAGCCUGAUGCAGCCAUGCCGCGUGUAUGAAGAAGGCCUUAGGGUUGUAAAGUACUUUCAGUCGGGAGGAAGGCGUUGAUGCUAAUAUCAUCAACGAUUGACGUUACCGACAGAAGAAGCACCGGCUAACUCCGUGCCAGCAGCCGCGGUAAUACGGAGGGUGCAAGCGUUAAUCGGAAUUACUGGGCGUAAAGCGCACGCAGGCGGUUGAUUAAGUUAGAUGUGAAAUCCCCGGGCUUAACCUGGGAAUGGCAUCUAAGACUGGUCAGCUAGAGUCUUGUAGAGGGGGGUAGAAUUCCAUGUGUAGCGGUGAAAUGCGUAGAGAUGUGGAGGAAUACCGGUGGCGAAGGCGGCCCCCUGGACAAAGACUGACGCUCA
Molecule: ribosomal RNA, 403 nt
Filed under: Bacillus sp. 205
Lineage: Bacteria; Bacillati; Bacillota; Bacilli; Caryophanales; Bacillaceae
Description: bacterial SSU rRNA
Rfam family: Bacterial small subunit ribosomal RNA
Source: RNAcentral